This 471-nucleotide ribosomal RNA is filed under the name uncultured bacterium. Its description in RNAcentral is "partial 16S ribosomal RNA". It matches the Rfam family "Bacterial small subunit ribosomal RNA", at positions 329 to 793 of the family's 1533-position model. The record is from RNAcentral.
GGCCAGACUCCUACGGGAGGCAGCAGUGGGGAAUAUUGCGCAAUGGGCGAAAGCCUGACGCAGCGACGCCGCGUGAGGGAUGAAGGUCUUCGGAUCGUAAACCUCUGUCAGCAGGGAAGAACGGUCACUGUGCUAAUCAGCAGUGAAUUGACGGUACCUGCAAAGGAAGCACCGGCUAACUCCGUGCCAGCAGCCGCGGUAAUACGGAGGAUGCGAGCGUUAUCCGGAUUUAUUGGGUUUAAAGGGUGCGGGGGCGGUCCGGAAGGCCGGCGGUAAAAGCCCGGGGCCCAACCCGGGCGAGCCGUUGAAACUGUCGGACUAGAGACGGCGAGAAGUACGCGGAAUGCGCGGUGUAGCGGUGAAAUGCAUAGAUAUCACGCAGAACUCCGAUUGCGAAGGCAGCAUACCGGCGCCCGACUGACGCUGAGGCACGAAAGCGUGGGGAUCGAACAGGAUUAGAUACCCCUGUAU